This is an RNA transcript of Astyanax mexicanus (Mexican tetra), 3370 nucleotides long. RefSeq lists it as uncharacterized. The transcript is spliced from 6 exons. NCBI's taxonomy places the organism in Eukaryota, Metazoa, Chordata, Actinopteri, Characiformes, Acestrorhamphidae. The record is from RefSeq and is a predicted model, not a curated record.
GUUUCAAUGUAACCAAUGUAAAACUAUUGUGUUUUAUAUGUUGGUCUUUUAAAAGUAAUGUUAAAAGUAGAAACAUUUAAAAGUUUGAAUAUGUAUUUUUAAUGGAAAACGAUUGAAUUAUCCUGAUUGAAGAAUUACCUAUAGGUAUUUUGUGGAUAGUUAAACAUGCAGAACACCAUUACUGUUCCUGAUAAAUGAACAUAACAGGAGGGUUAAAGGUUAGGAGAAGUUUAUAAAAUGUUUAUAACACAUUUUAAGCAAAUUCUAAGGAACAUAUUUUAGAUAUUAAUUAAAACAAAUAUAUGGUUUAGGUUUUAGUUCCUCUUAAAGACUAUUGAAGGGACAGUGUGUUAUUCAGUGUUAUUUAAGGAACAGGGAAAGGGAACUGUUAUCAUUUGAAACAUGAAACUGAGAUCACACUGAUAACAUUGUUUCCAUGAUGUGCAUGAUGUGCACGUCAAUCCCAAUGUUGUAAAACUCAUCAACUGAUGCAUUUAUUUCCUUUGACCUUUAGUAUGUCAUACUGCAGCACCAUGAGGGUCACCCUGCUUCAGCCUUUCAUCAUGUUGCUUGCAGUCUGUGCACGCACUCUUUCUGCACAGUCUCAGACCUCAAUGGCUGUCAGUGUGGGCUCCUCAGCUGUUCUGCACUGUAAUUGUAAACCCAUAGCCAGCAGUCAGCUAUCUGAACAAAGUCCUUAUAUCGAGUGGAGAACCAUCUCUGAGACGGUGUUUGAGAGGAGAGGUGCGGAGCAUUUUCAGGGGGAGGGGUAUGAAAAUCGGGUUGAUGUUCCUGAAGACGAACUGAAGAAAGGAAACUGUUCUCUGGUUAUAAAGAACAUCAGACCUGAAGAUGCUGGAGUUUAUGAGAGUUACCUGCAGGUGAAAAGAUCAAAGAGGUCCAUCCAGACUGAAUGGAAAUUCAUCCAGAGAGUGGAGCUCUCAGUAAAUGAUUCACCUGCACCUCCACAGCAGAACAACAAAGAAUAUGAAUCAGACGAGCAGGACACACCCAUGACAUCAAGUAGCGCAGGACUGAUCAGUGUUCCCUCACAGAUCCUAAUGUUCACCAUUCUCACAAACACACUACUGCGUAACACGUGAAAAAUGGCAAAGCACUUUAUAAAAUUCACUGUAAAUAGUGUAAAUAAAUGUAUAGUAGGAGAUACGGUUUUGUGCGAUGCUUUGAAAAUCCUCUCUGAUGGAUCGCCACCUUGCCGUGGUAGAGAGGCUUGUGAGAUCCAAAGAUCCCGAGAGCUAAACUGCCUGGAGCUUCUGCUCCUGUUAGAGUCACUCAGGACAGGUUUAGGGUUUAGGACUAGGAUCCAGACUAAGAGCGAUCUACAAAACAUUUUCAACAGCACAGAAACGCUAGAUACAGUAAUAAUGAUGGAUAUUAUACUGUGAAAUUAAGUGAAGGUCCCUAAAUGUUCAUCAGGCAAGUGGCAAGCUUUUCUCUUGAGUUAAUUUAAAAAUGCUUUAAAAUAUAUUUAAAUCCGUUCUUUAUAUUUUAAACAUGAUUUUGAUUUUUUAUAAGCAGGAUUUGUUUAGGCUCAUGUAAAAUGUGGAUAGGACUUAUAUACUACAAUGUAUACUAGUAGUAAGAAUUACAUAAAUAAUAUAAUUUCCGCCAACUUACCCAGAGUGUGACAGACGCCAAUAGAAAAGAAGCUGCCAAUGACAACAGACUAAACUCAGUUAUUAUAAAUUGGUUCACCUCAAAGAUCUCAGUUUAAAUGUUUAUGUGCCCACAAUCCAGCAUGUAUUCAGCAUUGAUCUGAAUUAGGGAUGCAACCAGAACCAGCCAGUAAAACAGUGUUCUGCCCAACCCUCCCCACUAACACCCAUACAAACUCUUUACUUUACACUGCAUCUAUCAGACUUCCCCAUAUUAUACAGCAUUCUGCCCUCCUGCACUUCCCACUUCCCUCUCAACUCAUUCCUUACCUGCACUUACUCAUAGUUAUUCUGUCACCUACUGGCAGUGUUGGGAAGUAACGGAUUACAUAUAACGGCGUUACGUAAUCAGAUUACAAAUUAUGAGUAACUGUAAUCCGUUACAGUUACUGCUUCAGUAAGUGGUAAUCAGAUUACAGUUACUCUGCUAAAAUAAAUGGAUUACAUUGCGGUACUUUCCUAUUUUUGGUCUUCCAAUUCAACACUGACAAAACGCAAUCACAUUCACAUAAAUCACAACAUCAGAAUAUUCUAUGAUUUACAACCUUCGAUCAGAAUGUUUUCACUGCAGAAGCGCCCCCUAGCCCUUCGGCGGGCCCGUUCUGACUAUGUAAAGUAGAAUGCUUAAAAGCGUCAAAUAUUCUAAACACACCGACCAAAUAACCGACUCAUAUUCUUUAGUACUAAUUUAACUACCUGCAUGCAAAUUUACAACCAUCUACAUGAAACCAGUCGCCAGAAAUCUCCAACUGAAAACAGCCUGUUUUUUCACAUUGUUUACACGAGAAACACGCCUCCCCAACAAAAUAGCCUUAUAAAAUAAUAUUAGUAUGUAAAAUAACAUCAGAUUACACUAUAGAAAAUUCACUUACUAUCAUAGCAUCCGCAAUACAGCACUGAACCGCAGAUAAAAUAUCCAUAAAGUCCUUUAUUCUCCUGCUCACUUCUCCUCACAAACAUGCGUUUAUUUUCAGCGCAGCUGAAACGUAAUAUUCUCAAACUCCUAGCGACCACGCAAUGUAAUAUUUUCACGUAAAGUUGUACGUGAAUACAAAGCUAAGGAUGUCCUCUUCUAGAUUCUGUGGUUUUCAUUGGUCCACAAACCACUGAGUGAUCGUCUUUUGAACCAAUAACGUGAGCAAUGGAUCAAUCCAAUCCAAUCAAAUGAGGUCAUAGCCUUUCUCCAGGGUCACAAAAGUGAUUGACACCUAUUUCAACCAAUAGUCCACCCUUAGAUGAAAACACUGGUACGUACUUUGCCCUGAUUGGUCUCCUAAUGGCUGGGGGCGGGGCAUGCCUAAGCGCUGUCAUCAAAAUCCCUCUGCUGAACAAAGGCGCUCCCACAGCGCGGAUACGUGUGAUUUUGUGUCAUUUCAUCAAAAAAAAUGUUAAUAUUACUCUGAAGUAGUUAUCACAAACAAACAAAAAAUAUUACAAACUCUGGCUGUAUAGAGACAGAUUUACUUGUGUAUCUUUGUAUUAGAUUAAAGGCACUCUGGAGAGGUUUUGAACACUUUGGAGACGCCUGGUGGACACCUAAUAUAAUGCAGUGUAACUCUUCAAUGCAUUGUGAUAUGUUUGUCAAGAUCCUACUGAAUCAGGAAAUGUAGAGAAUGAUUGACUAUUCAUCACCAACAUCCAUACACACAUUGUAAACUCUAAAUAUAACAGGCGCUUUUUUUUUUUUUUACAAU